Non-coding RNA from Soboliphyme baturini, 46 nucleotides. NCBI's taxonomy places the organism in Eukaryota, Metazoa, Nematoda, Enoplea, Dioctophymatida, Soboliphymatidae. The record is from Rfam.
CCAAAGGUCCUUUUCAGGACCACCUUUUCAAAGGGCACUGACUUGG